AGAGUUUGAUCAUGGCUCAGAUUGAACGCUGGCGGCAGGCCUAACACAUGCAAGUCGAACGGUAACAGGAAGCAGCUUGCUGCUUCGCUGACGAGUGGCGGACGGGUGAGUAAUGUCUGGGAAACUGCCUGAUGGAGGGGGAUAACUACUGGAAACGGUGGCUAAUACCGCAUAACGUCGCAAGACCAAAGAGGGGGACCUUCGGGCCUCUUGCCAUCAGAUGUGCCCAGAUGGGAUUAGCUUGUUGGUGAGGUAACGGCUCACCAAGGCGACGAUCCCUAGCUGGUCUGAGAGGAUGACCAGCCACACUGGAACUGAGACACGGUCCAGACUCCUACGGGAGGCAGCAGUGGGGAAUAUUGCACAAUGGGCGCAAGCCUGAUGCAGCCAUGCCGCGUGUAUGAAGAAGGCCUUCGGGUUGUAAAGUACUUUCAGCGGGGAGGAAGGUGUUGUGGUUAAUAACCGCAGCAAUUGACGUUACCCGCAGAAGAAGCACCGGCUAACUCCGUGCCAGCAGCCGCGGUAAUACGGAGGGUGCAAGCGUUAAUCGGAAUUACUGGGCGUAAAGCGCACGCAGGCGGUCUGUCAAGUCGGAUGUGAAAUCCCCGGGCUCAACCUGGGAACUGCAUUCGAAACUGGCAGGCUUGAGUCUUGUAGAGGGGGGUAGAAUUCCAGGUGUAGCGGUGAAAUGCGUAGAGAUCUGGAGGAAUACCGGUGGCGAAGGCGGCCCCCUGGACAAAGACUGACGCUCAGGUGCGAAAGCGUGGGGAGCAAACAGGAUUAGAUACCCUGGUAGUCCACGCCGUAAACGAUGUCUACUUGGAGGUUGUGCCCUUGAGGCGUGGCUUCCGGAGCUAACGCGUUAAGUAGACCGCCUGGGGAGUACGGCCGCAAGGUUAAAACUCAAAUGAAUUGACGGGGGCCCGCACAAGCGGUGGAGCAUGUGGUUUAAUUCGAUGCAACGCGAAGAACCUUACCUGGUCUUGACAUCCACGGAAGUUUUCAGAGAUGAGAAUGUGCCUUCGGGAACCAAGAACCUUACCUGGUCUUGACAUCCACAGAAGAAUCCAGAGAUGGAUUUGUGCCUUCGGGAACUGUGAGACAGGUGCUGC
This 1112-nucleotide ribosomal RNA is filed under the name Salmonella enterica subsp. enterica serovar Agona str. 34.H.09. RNAcentral describes it as "bacterial SSU rRNA". It matches the Rfam family "Bacterial small subunit ribosomal RNA", at positions 8 to 1044 of the family's 1533-position model. The record is from RNAcentral. Lineage: Bacteria; Pseudomonadati; Pseudomonadota; Gammaproteobacteria; Enterobacterales; Enterobacteriaceae.